Molecule: ribosomal RNA, 468 nt
Filed under: uncultured bacterium
Lineage: Bacteria
Description: partial 16S ribosomal RNA
Rfam family: Bacterial small subunit ribosomal RNA
Source: RNAcentral
GACGAACGCUGGCGGCGUGCUUAACACAUGCAAGUCGAACGGAAAGGCCCUGCUUGUGUCGGGUGCUCGAGUGGCGAACGGGUGAGUAACCCGUGAGUAACCUGCCCUCGACUUUGGGAUAACUUCAGGAAACUGGGGAUAAUACCGGAUCGGAGCUCCUGCUGCGGGGUGGGGGUUGCAAAGUUUCGGCGGGUGGGGAUGGACUCGCGGCUUAUCAGCUUGUUGGUGGGGGAGUGGCUUACCAAGGCUUUGACGGGUAGCCGGCCUGAGAGGGUGACCGGCCACAUUGGGACUGAGGUACGGCCCAGACUCCUACGGGAGGCAGCAGUGGGGAAUAUUGCACAAUGGGCGGAAGCCUGAUGCAGCAACGCCGCGUGCGGGAUGACGGCCUUCGGGUUGUAAACCGCUUUCGCCUGUGACGAAGCGUGAGUGACGGUAAUGGGUAAAGAAGCACCGGCUAACUACGUG